AUAAAUGCUUUACAUUAUUAUUUGUAAUCUUAUCGUAAGAAAAAUUUGUACAAUAAAUGGGUUCAAAUAUCUUGUCUUCCGUUGAUUCCGUUGUUGUCGUAUCUGCUCCAUUAUUGCUCCUUAUCUUAUCUUUCCAGCUGGCAUUUUGUUUUCUUGAUUUUUAUUCUAGAUGUACUUCUGGAAUAAUAUUAUCUUCUCCAUUACAUCUUGAACAUUGAUGAUCUGGAUAU
This 230-nucleotide long non-coding RNA is filed under the name Capsicum annuum. RNAcentral's name for it is "long non-coding RNA (CANN_LNC022181)". Lineage: Eukaryota; Viridiplantae; Streptophyta; Magnoliopsida; Solanales; Solanaceae. The record is from RNAcentral.